ACAGAAACACAGAGUCACUCUCACCAAAUGCAAAUGCAUCAAUAAUGUAUGGUUUAAUAUUCGAAUUCCAAUUUCGAAAUCUGAGGCUCUCAUAACAAUCCUCAUUUUCUACAAAAACAAAAAUCAAAUGGAGGAAUCCUCAGACAACAAAAACAACAACAACAACUACGUUGGCGAUAGUACCACUGACGACGAGAGCACUUGUGUCGCUAUCCAAAACCAAAACGACAAUCAAAAUUCACAAGCUGAAUCGGAGGCUGUGGCGAAGGGAAUAUCUUCGACGCUGGGCACUGUGAUUAGCGACUUCGAUUCCAGAGCUCAAGCCACUCUCACAAGCCAGGACCAACUCUCUUCCUCCAUCGAUCGUCUUACCCGAGAACUUGAUCAAUUGUUAGAAGAUGCACCCUUGCCAUUCAUUAUGCAGCAUGCUGCCAAGAUUUCUGGUGUUAGAAAGAGAGUCUCAUCAUUGAAUUCAGUUUUAAAAUCCAUACAGCGUCGAGUUGAUAAUAUAGAUCGAAUGCUAUCUGCGGGCAUGCUACACGAGAAGAUGGCCUCUGAAAGUGCUGGACAACAUUAGCGUUGGUUGCUUGGAAUCUUUAUGUAUGUACUAUGAGGUGAGCACCAUACUGUGGUUGGAGAGUUAUAACAGGGGUAGGAGCAUGACGAUAGGAUGGGGAGAGCUCAAAUGAGAAGCGUUGUAGAAUUGUUGUCAGAACCAUCUUUUCUUCCAUCAUUGCAAAGUUUUGUCCAAUGCAUAUCCGGGGACCCCAACCAAAGGGGAAGAAAGAAACUCGACUCUUUGUUGCCUUUGAAAUUCCUUCUGAAAACCUCUCUGGCCUGAACUCCGAUUCAUCAUCUCCCCAAAGUUCAUGGUCCUGGUGAACGAGGACUGUUGGUAAGCAAAGCAUUACUCCAGCUGGUAAUGACAAAUUGCCAAGUUUUGUUGUGAAUACUUCGAGCAAGCAUAACUAUUGCCGGUGCCAAAAACUUGGAAAACUUCUUCUCUCUCCUGCACUUGCCAAUUUGGACAUCUACUUAAUAAGAUCAUCGUCCAAACAAGCAAAACAGAAGUAGUCUCUUGGCCAAUUUGGAUUUCUCUUUUGUGGUGGGGGAUGGCUCUCGUAUUCUUUUUUGGCAUGAUAAGUGAACUGGGGAUGUUCCUCUUAAAAUUCUUUAUCCUUAGUUAUUUUUGUGUCCAGCCAAUAAGGAGGCUUGUAUUUCUGAAGUGUUAAGCCCUCUAGUGGGUGAUAAUGACAGAGUGUGGAGUUUAAGAUUUUAUAGGGAAUUCAAUGAUUUGGGAGUUAGCGGCUUCCUACUCCCUACUUCAUUUCAUCCAAAUCCGAAUUCCUAGAGGUGGAGGGUGUGAUAGGCUUUAUUGAGAUCUUAAUGGAAGUGGGAAGUUUUAUAUUCGGUCUUUUUAUCAUAAGAUUCGAAAUGCAACUCCUUCCACUUUCCCUUAGAAGGGCAUUUGGAAAGUUAAGGUUCCUAAAAGGGUGACUUUUUUUAUGUGGACAACAGCUCACGGUUAGAUUCUAACCUUGGAUAACCUUAUGUUUCGUAGUCACCCUUUGGCGAAUCGUUGUUGUAUGUGCUAUUGUAAUGUGGAAUCUGUGGAUCACUUGUUAUUUUUUUGUCCAAUAGCUCAUUCUUUGUAGAUGUA
Molecule: RNA transcript, 1660 nt
Organism: Quercus robur (English oak)
Lineage: Eukaryota; Viridiplantae; Streptophyta; Magnoliopsida; Fagales; Fagaceae
Exons: 5
Source: RefSeq, a predicted model, not a curated record